GGGCAGCUGAGCGUGAAGAAAAGAAUGGACUCGAGCUCUGCAGGAGUACCUGCCCUGCCCGAGGACACCCAAUAGGUCGCAGAGCAACUGAAUACAGAUCCUGGAGUUCAGCUGAUACCUGUUUGACUUAAAGUCCAGCCAUUAACUACCUCACUUCACCACCUCCCUAGGAGAGGACUCUUCCUGCCUUAACUCAAGCGUCACUGUUCAAAUUCUAAUUGGAUUUCACUUAUGUGACAGCAAGAAAUAGCUCUGCGACCAGAACAGAGGACACAGCCUUGAGGAGAAAAGACGACCAGUGCCAGUGCGCUCUCUCUCCCCCUCUCUCCCUCUCUUCCUUUCUCUCUCUGUCUCUCUCUGUCUCUCUGUCUCUCUUUCUCUCUCUGUGUCUCUCUCUCUCCUCUCUUCUCUCUUUUCUUCUCUCCUUCUCUCCUCCCUCUCCACCUCCUGUCUGGCAACAGCACCUACCAAAUCAUCUGAGAGCUAUCACACAGUAUCAGAAUUAGAUUGCUUGGGAGGUUCUACACUGUAGAAAUCAUGCUGUUUGGGGCUGGGGAUUUAGCUCAGCAGCAUAAGCGCCUGUCUUGCAAGCCUGUGGUUGUGAGUUCAAUCCCUGGUACCGGUAAAAAUACAAAAAAAAAAGAAAUCAUGCUGUUUGUAGUUAUCACUGUCAGAAGUCCGAAGAUAGUAUCAUGAACUGAAUGUUGAGAUUUGCAAAAUGACAGAAGAGAUAUACAGUUCUGCAAGAGAUGCUCAGCCUGCUUUUUUGUAAUGUGGAAUGGAGU
Cavia porcellus (domestic guinea pig) is the source of this 785-nucleotide long non-coding RNA. RefSeq lists it as uncharacterized. Lineage: Eukaryota; Metazoa; Chordata; Mammalia; Rodentia; Caviidae. The transcript has 3 exons. The record is from RefSeq and is a predicted model, not a curated record.